RNAcentral lists this long non-coding RNA (799 nucleotides) under Homo sapiens (human). Its description in RNAcentral is "HSALNT0046712". Lineage: Eukaryota; Metazoa; Chordata; Mammalia; Primates; Hominidae. The record is from RNAcentral.
GGACGGAUGUAGAUGCACUGGGCUGAAUGUGGAAGGCAUAGUGAAAGGUGGCAACCCCGUGGAAAAAAGCAUCUCUGAUGUUCAUGUACUUACCAAAAUUAAGGAGGAGGGAUUUAUUUCAUUUGCUCCUGAAGUUAAAUCUCAUGAAAUCAUGUGAAAUUCAGUGAUGUGUUACUGGGAACAAAAAGGGUUAUGGAGUCCCUGAGGACUAGUUCGGGGACACUGAAAAUAGAGAAAUGGAUGCAAGAGGUACUGCAAUGAAAAACCAAUGCUGAUUAAGAACAACUGAAGAAGCUGCAACUUAGUGGAAAAGACACCAAAUUGUUACGUUAUUAAUUGUGAUGCCUUCCCACAAGAGCUGUGUCUGUACUGUGCCACAUAACCCCUGAAGCUGAAUAAAGAACUUUCUCCUUGAUUCCCCCAGCCCUCCAAAAACAUCAGGUGAUGAGGUCCCAUUGUAAAUGACCCAAGGACAAACAGCUCAUGACUUCAAAGGAGGCCUCUUCAACCCAGGGCAAAUUCAGGCCUUCAUUCCAGGGGUCUGUAAGCAAGUACUGAGUGAAGAGAUAUCCUAAAAUCAAUCGUUCCUCUUUGCCAACCCUGGAUAAUGGCAACAACUUCUUUAGUGGCAUGCUGCAUGCUCUGUUUGGUCAUGUCCAGAGAUACCCAAGAUAAAGAAGUUUGAUAAAUAUACACAUUAACUCAGCAAAAAUAACAUGGUUAUUUUCAUGAAUAUUGCACUUGGGCACAUCAGCAAAAUUCAAAAGUGAUAAAAGAAAAAUUGUUGCCUGUCAAAAAG